RNAcentral lists this ribosomal RNA (460 nucleotides) under uncultured bacterium. RNAcentral's name for it is "partial 16S ribosomal RNA". It matches the Rfam family "Bacterial small subunit ribosomal RNA", at positions 338 to 795 of the family's 1533-position model. The record is from RNAcentral.
CCUACGGGUGGCAGCAGUGAGGAAUAUUGGUCAAUGGACGGAAGUCUGAACCAGCCAUGCCGCGUGCAGGAAGACGGCUCUAUGAGUUGUAAACUGCUUUUGUACAAGGGUAAACCUGAAUACGUGUAUUCAGCUGAAAGUACUGUACGAAUAAGGAUCGGCUAACUCCGUGCCAGCAGCCGCGGUAAUACGGAGGAUCCAAGCGUUAUCCGGAUUUAUUGGGUUUAACGGGUGCGUAGGCAGAUUGAUAAGUUCGGGGGGAAAUGUCCGAGCGUAACUCGGGAACUGCCUCUAAUACUGUUGAUCUAGAGAGUAGGUGCGGUAGGCGGAAUGUAUGGUGUAGCGGUGAAAUGCUUAGAGAUCAUACAGAACACCGAUUGCGAAGGCAGCUUACCAAUCUAUAUCUGACGUUGAGGCACGAAAGCGUGGGGAGCAAACAGGAUUAGAUACCCUAGUAGUC